AUUGAACGCUGGCGGCAGGCCUAACACAUGCAAGUCGAGCGGAUGAAGGGAGCUUGCUCCUGGAUUCAGCGGCGGACGGGUGAGUAAUGCCUAGGAAUCUGCCUGGUAGUGGGGGAUAACGUCCGGAAACGGGCGCUAAUACCGCAUACGUCCUGAGGGAGAAAGUGGGGGAUCUUCGGACCUCACGCUAUCAGAUGAGCCUAGGUCGGAUUAGCUAGUUGGUGGGGUAAAGGCCUACCAAGGCGACGAUCCGUAACUGGUCUGAGAGGAUGAUCAGUCACACGGGAACUGAGACACGGCCCAGACUCCUAGGGGGGGAGGCAGGGGGAAAUUUUGAACAAGGGGCGAAAUCCUGACCCAGCCAUGCGGGGUGUGUAAAGAAGGUCUUCGGAUUGUAAAGCCUUUUAAUUUGGGAGGAAGGGCAGUAAGUUAAUACCUUCUUUUUUUGACGUUACCAAAAAAAAAAACCCCGGCUAACUUCGUC
This 484-nucleotide ribosomal RNA is filed under the name uncultured bacterium. Its description in RNAcentral is "partial 16S ribosomal RNA". It matches the Rfam family "Bacterial small subunit ribosomal RNA", at positions 30 to 507 of the family's 1533-position model. The record is from RNAcentral.